UCACCUCAUCCGGCGACCUGUGCGACUUGCGCACCUUCAUGUCGUUGAACACCUUGAUGACCUCGUCAUUCACCGUCACACCUGAUGCCUGGGGACACACGUGCGCCACGUUACCCCGCAAGCCCAUUUUUCCCGAUUCUAAGCAGUCGCCAGUGAGUCCCGUUGGUGCAUUACCUGCGUUGAGGUACUGGCAGUUGUUGACUUUUUCUCGGAUGAUGCUGAGCGCGAUGGGUCUGCUGAUGAUGUCAUAGUAGUCGGGCACCUGCGCACAGGAAGAGUGAGACGGGAAGUAGCGUGGUGGCGACGGCGAGGUGGCCAACGGGUGAGCGGACCUGUGUGCGGGUCACCAGCUUCAUGAAGGGCCAGCUGUCAUCGUGGCGGACAAGCUCCACCACUAGGAGCUCACACGCCGACAGCUCGUGGACGCCUUGGUUCCUCCCGGACGAGCGGCGGCUACUCGAGGACGAGGUGGCGGCUAGACGGACUAACUUGCGAGGUUCCGAUGGAGUCGGCAAAGCGUCUGGGGGAGGAGGCACGUUCAAGCGUAAGCAAUGUCUUUAUGAAUUAAUAAUGAAUGAGGGGGGAACUAAUUCGAUGCUAACAGCUCAUUCUCAGAUCACGUGAUCAGCGAUGCCAAAUAGAAUGAUACAGCUCAAUGAAUUCAUUCAUUUUAAUGAUACGACUAGAAAAAAUGUUUUGACUUGUAAUGUCAUGUCCAAAAUGAAAUUUGCGACCUUGACUGAACCCUGACAGAUGUUGCUACAAUACACCCAAGGGAUGUGUCGGCCA
This is a long non-coding RNA of Syngnathus acus (greater pipefish), 789 nucleotides long. RefSeq lists it as uncharacterized. The record is from RefSeq and is a predicted model, not a curated record. Lineage: Eukaryota; Metazoa; Chordata; Actinopteri; Syngnathiformes; Syngnathidae. The transcript is spliced from 2 exons.